AUGGGCACGCCGCUAACGGCGAUCCCGGACCACAUCCAGGAGAUCUUCCUCCGCUUGCCUACCGCGGCCGACCUCGCCCGUGCCUCCGCCGCCUGCAUCUCCUUCCGCCGGCUCGCCACCGGCCGGUCCUUCCUCCGCCGCUUCCGCCGCCUCCACGCCCCGCUGCUCCUCGGCUUCCUCCAGCGCGACCACUUCGUCCCAGCCCUACCACCUCACCCCUCCGCGCCCGCCGCCCGCGCCCUCGCUCUCGCCGCCGACUUCUCCUUCUCCUUCCUCCCAUCCCACUGCCACUGGAUCGUGCAGGACGUCCGCGACGGCCGCGUCCUCCUCGGCCGCAGGUUUGGAAAGGACGACCCGUCUCCGGUCUUCCGGGAGCUUGUGGUGUGCGACCCCUUGCACCGGCGGUACGUCCUGCUUCCACCAUUUCCGGACGACCUGGCCCAUUGGGUGGAGCACCAGGUCUACAACCCUUUCAAACCUUUCCUCCUCCCCGUCGCCGAGGAGGAGACGGAAGAGACAGCAUUCAGAAUCAUCUGGAUGGCGCAUUGCAGAACUAAGCUGGCCGCGUUUGUCUUCUCUUCCAGCACCGGAAAAUGGCAAGAAGCCACCAAGAGCGGGCCGACUGGUUUGGUCCUUGACAGGGGCGACUCGGCCAUACUGUCACGGAUCCACCCUCAUUUUCUCAUGCGCCAUUAUGCCUAUGGCUGCUUCUACUGGGACUGGCUUGUGACCGGGAGCAGAAAGUUGCUCAUGCUUGACACCAGGAGGAUGGAGUUCUCCUUUGCCGACCUCCCACCCGGAGAGUGGAGUAAACGUGUAGCCAUUGUGGAGGCAGGGGAAGGCAGGCCUGGGAUUUUUGGGUUCCAUGGUGAAAUUGCAUCUGAUCUCAGCUAUGCCAUUGCGCAAAAUACAGGCGAGAGUCCGAACCAGUGGCAAAUGUUGAAGACAAUAUCACUAGACCCUGGAUACAUAUAUUCUAUCGAUGCUGCA
Molecule: ribosomal RNA, 990 nt
Filed under: Triticum aestivum (bread wheat)
Lineage: Eukaryota; Viridiplantae; Streptophyta; Magnoliopsida; Poales; Poaceae
Description: partial small subunit ribosomal RNA
Source: RNAcentral